ACUAUGCCCAGCCCUCAACAAAGGUGCACUAACUACACACUGCACUCGCCAGGGAAUUACGAGCAACUUGCUUAAAACUCAAAGGACUUGACGGUAUUUCGAACCCACCUAGAGGAGCCUGUCCUGUAAUCGACAACACACGAUCCACCCAACCACCUUUUGCCCUAAGCAGCCUGUAUACCGCCGUCGCAAGCUUAGCCCCUGAGGGACAAGUACCUAGCACAAUAACCCACCUCUGAGCUAGUACGUCAGGUCAAGGUGCAGCCAAUAAGCUGGUAGAGAUGGGCUACAUUUUCUACACUAUAGAAAUUGGUCACGGAGAGGCCUGUGAAACCAGGACUGUCAAAGACGGAUUUAGCAGUAAAUUAGGAGAAGAGUGCCUAAUUGAAGAUGGCCCCGAAAUAUGU
Molecule: ribosomal RNA, 407 nt
Filed under: Crocodylus siamensis (Siamese crocodile)
Lineage: Eukaryota; Metazoa; Chordata; Crocodylia; Crocodylidae
Description: partial 12S ribosomal RNA
Rfam family: Bacterial small subunit ribosomal RNA
Source: RNAcentral